GUAGGUGGCAAGCGUUGUCCGGAAUUAUUGGGCGUAAAGCGCGCGCAGGCGGUUCUUUAAGUCUGAUGUGAAAGCCCACGGGCUCAACCGUGGAGGGUCAUUGGAAACUGGAGAACUUGAGUACAGAAGAGGAAAGCGGAAUUCCACGUGUAGCGGUGAAAUGCGUAGAGAUGUGGAGGAACACCAGUGGCGAAGGCGGCUUUCUGGUCUGUAACUGACACUGAGGCGCGAAAGCGUGGGGAGCAAACAGGAUUAGAUACCCUGGUAGUCCACGCCGUAAACGAUGAGUGCUAAGUGUUAGGGGGUUUCCGCCCCUUAGUGCUGCAGCUAACGCAUUAAGCACUCCGCCUGGGGAGUACGGCCGCAAGGCUG
This 372-nucleotide ribosomal RNA is filed under the name uncultured organism. RNAcentral's name for it is "partial 16S ribosomal RNA". It matches the Rfam family "Bacterial small subunit ribosomal RNA", at positions 527 to 896 of the family's 1533-position model. The record is from RNAcentral.